Molecule: small nuclear RNA, 95 nt
Filed under: Macaca nemestrina (pig-tailed macaque)
Lineage: Eukaryota; Metazoa; Chordata; Mammalia; Primates; Cercopithecidae
Source: RNAcentral
GUGCUCGCUUCGGCAGCACAUAUACUAAAAUUGGAAGAUUAGCGUGGCCCCUGUGCAAGGAUGACACGCAAAUUCGUGAAGCAUUCCAUAUAUUU